AACGAACGCUGGCGGCAUGCCUAACACAUGCAAGUCGAACGAGACCUUCGGGUCUAGUGGCGCACGGGUGCGUAACGCGUGGGAACCUGCCCUUAGGUUCGGAAUAACUCCCCGAAAGGGGUGCUAAUACCGGAUAAUGUCUUCGGACCAAAGAUUUAUCGCCUUUGGUUGGGCCCGCGUUGGAUUAGCUAGUUGGUAGGGUAAAAGCCUACCAAGGCGACGAUCCAUAGCUGGUCUGAGAGGAUGAUCAGCCACACUGGGACUGAGACACGGCCCAGACUCCUACGGGAGGCAGCAGUGGGGAAUAUUGGACAAUGGGCGAAAGCCUGAUCCAGCAAUGCCGCGUGAGUGAUGAAGGCCUUAGGGUUGUAAAGCUCUUUUACCCGGGAUGAUAACGACAGUACCGGGAGAAUAAGCUCCGGCUAACUCCGUG
RNAcentral lists this ribosomal RNA (433 nucleotides) under uncultured bacterium. RNAcentral describes it as "partial 16S ribosomal RNA". It matches the Rfam family "Bacterial small subunit ribosomal RNA", at positions 29 to 507 of the family's 1533-position model. The record is from RNAcentral.